GACGAACCGUACAAACGUUAUUCGGAAUUACUGGGCGUAAAGCGCACGUAGGCGGACUAUUAAGUCAGGGGUGAAAUCCUGGAGCUCAACUCCAGAACUGCCUUUGAUACUGGCGAUCUCGAGUCCGGGAGAGGUGAGUGGAACUGCGAGUGUAGAGGUGAAAUUCGUAGAUAUUCGCAAGAACACCAGUGGCGAAGGCGGCUCACUGGCCCGGUACUGACGCUGAGGUGCGAAAGCGUGGGGAGCAAACAGG
Molecule: ribosomal RNA, 253 nt
Filed under: uncultured bacterium
Lineage: Bacteria
Description: partial 16S ribosomal RNA
Rfam family: Bacterial small subunit ribosomal RNA
Source: RNAcentral